Molecule: long non-coding RNA, 907 nt
Organism: Sorghum bicolor (sorghum)
Lineage: Eukaryota; Viridiplantae; Streptophyta; Magnoliopsida; Poales; Poaceae
Exons: 3
Source: RefSeq, a predicted model, not a curated record
ACUCUUCGGAUCCUCACUCUUCACUCCCUUAGGAGCCGCACUUAGGCCUGAGUGUGAUGUGAGCGCCGGGACCGACCUCAAGGUAGCGGCUCUCAUGGCGACGACGGCGACAACAACUGCGUGUGUGCUCUGAGAUCUCGUGGCGUGUGGCGCUUGCGGCGCGCAGCUGGGUACGAUGUAAGCAUUGGUGGGAGCCCAGCUCGCGGCCGCUAAGGUACGAGGCCCGGGAUGCGCAGAUCAGCCGGAGCGGCACAACAUUCAGGCCUGCCCUGCUGCACCUGGCUGGAGGAGUGCAGCAUGUGGUUCCUUGUCGUCAUGGCCCGCCUCGCGAGGAAGGGGAGCGCCGCAUCGCGAAGGCCGCGUCAACGAAGAUGACAGGGACCAUGGCGGAUGUCGGCCGAGCUCAGCUGGCCGUCACCAUCGAGUCCCCAUCAAAGAAGAAGGCUCAGAGGUGCAGCGUUCUCGCAGGGCCCUAUUCCCCGAAAAAAUUGGUUCAUUCUAGCAGGAGCAAAGCAAGCACGAGGAGAUCCACGUCUCCUCCAGCGGCGUCCAUGCCUACAUCGACUAUCACGACGGCGACUGCAGCAGGCGCCCCUUUGUUCAGGACUUGUUAAUCUGACCAUCAGAGUGUUAAUGUGACCGUUUCUUUUUUCCGAGACGGAGGAGUCUGCACUCGUCAUCACCAGCAUCAAGGGAAGGAUCAACACGGCCGUUUGGGGGCCGCUGAACAGGACCAUCAUCACUGCCGGGGAGGAUGCCACCAUUCGCAUCUGGGAUUGUGUGCUACAUGUAUAAUGAAUUGGUGGAUUAAUGUAAUGAUAUUGUAUUUACUGUGGAGAUGUUAAUUUAUUUGGAUCUGAUGUUUUAUAUAUUGAAAAAUUAUAUGGAUGCAAUUAUAUGGGCUGAA